GGGGAUUUAGCUCAGUGGCAUAAGCACCUGCCUUGCAAGCAGGAGGUCAUGAGUUCAAUCCCCA
Molecule: transfer RNA, 64 nt
Filed under: Cavia porcellus (domestic guinea pig)
Lineage: Eukaryota; Metazoa; Chordata; Mammalia; Rodentia; Caviidae
Rfam family: tRNA
About the family: Transfer RNA (tRNA) molecules are approximately 80 nucleotides in length. Their secondary structure includes four short double-helical elements and three loops (D, anti-codon, and T loops).
Source: Rfam by way of RNAcentral